This 30-nucleotide non-coding RNA is filed under the name Mus musculus (house mouse). Lineage: Eukaryota; Metazoa; Chordata; Mammalia; Rodentia; Muridae. The record is from RNAcentral.
UGGUGUUGCCAACAAACCAAAGAAGCAAGU